UGUUGCAGAAACAAUCACUUUUAAAGGCCAAUACACUGCUUCCCGACACUCCACGUGAAUUUAUAGAAGGAAUCAUUGACAAUCUUUAUUUCCCAGGCUUUCUCAUUGCAUGAAUCACUUCUGGUUGCCUAUAUUGUGACAACACACUUACGAGUUCUUGGUCACCAAAUUCACAUGGCAGGAGGGAGGGCAGGUUGCACCAACGAUGUCUCUGGUCGGCAGAAGGGAUAGGCUCACCUUCAAAACACUUGUGACCGAUGCCAAUACAUAGAGAGGGCAAGAAAGAAAUGAAAAGGAGAUGACUUAGGAGUGGGUGGGCAGAGCUGGACAGGAAUUAGAAGAGGACAAAUGUGGGCCCAAGGGGCAUCCCCAGCCCAUUAGACCUUUCUUAGCUGGGCUCCUCUGCUGUUUUGGUGGUGAACUUCCUGCUAGAGAUCAACUGUCCCAACCUCCUCAUUUCCCAGAGGAGGACACUGACAUCCAGAGACAGAAACAGGUUUGUCCCAGCCACUCAGGCAGUCGGCAGUAGGGCUGGGACGAGCCCACAAGUUACAGAUGACCCUCGUAAUUACUCUAGGCCUCAGUGUUUCCAUUGGGAAAAUGAGGAACUGGGUCAGAGCAAUGGUGUUUUGGUUUUCACAAAAAACUUAAAAAAGUUUUUUUUUGUUUAUUUUUGGCUGCACUACAUGGUAUGUGGGAUCUUAGUUCCCCAACCAGGGAUCGAACUCACACCCCCUGCAGUGGAAGCACAGUCUUAACCACUGGACCACCAGGGGAUUCCCAAGAGCAAUAAUUCUUAACUUUGGCUGCACAGUGGAAUCACCCAGCAAGACUUGAAUGGAAUACUGUUGCCUUGAACUCUGUCCUCAGAAAUGUUGAUAAAACCAGAUUAUAACAUGGAUUGUAACAUGGGCACUGGCACUGAUCAGCUUCCCAGGGAAUUCCUGGAUGAUCUGUGAGGUUGGUUUCAAUUCUGACAUCCAUUCGUGCCACGCACAUGGGCACCUGCUGGGUGCCAGGCCCUCAGCUAUAGCCGGGCAAGAGCAGAAGUGGACACUGUGAUCCUGGGGCUGGUUUCCUGUUUCUGUGUGGACAGGGUGGCUGAGACAGGCUGCUCAUAUUAGCAGCCUAUUCACAGACAACUCUACUUUCUCCAGGCAGCCUUAUGAUUAAUAGAGGUGAUAUUCUUAUCUCCUGUCUGACUCAUAAGUGUGUCUCUUUCGAUUGAUUCUGAUUUUAGGCAGAAGAAAAGAGAUGCUAUUUAUUAGCCUCUUCAAAACUCUAAACCAUUCUGCUGGAGAUGACGAGCAGUAUACAAAUAACCUUAAGGCCCCCUUCUCAGCCUCCUUUGCAGACUUGUCUUUCUUUAAAUGUUGGAGUACCUCUAGGCUUGGCUCUACCCUACUCUCUCUCUGGUUGACUCCAUCUAUUCCAAAGGUCCUAAGUAACAACCCCAUGCUGCUGCUGCUGCUGCUGCUGCUAAGUCGCUUCAGACGUGUCCGACUCUGUGUGACCCCAUAGACGGCAGCCCACCAGGCUCCCCCGUCCCUGGGAUUCUCCAGGCAAGAACACUGGAGUUGGUUGCCAUUUCCUUCUCCAAUGCAGGAAAGUGAAAAGUGAAAGUGAAGUCGCUCAGUCGUGUCCGACUCUCAGCCACCCCAUGGACUGCAGCCUACCAGGCUCCUCCAUCCAUGGGAUUUGCCAGGCAAGAGUAUUGGAGUGGGGUGCCAUUGCCUUCUCCGAACAACCCCAUGCUAGUGACUCUCAAAUUUACAUUACCAAUCCUAAGCAUUCCCCUGAGCUCCAAACUGAAAUAUUCUACUUUCUCCUUGACAGCCCCAUAUAGUAUGUUUUACAAGUACAUCAACAUCUAUGUGAUCAAAAUAAGUCUUGACUCCCACCUCCCCCAGCAUAUCUGACCUCAGUGUAAAGUAGCACCACCUACACAGUUGCUCAACCAGACACUUGAUCCCUCCCCACCCCCUCAGCACCCGCAUCUAAUCCAUCACCCAACGUGGGCCACUCUGCCUCCAAAACACACCCUGAAUCCCUCCACUUCUUUCCAGCCCC
Bos taurus (domestic cattle) is the source of this 2070-nucleotide long non-coding RNA. NCBI's taxonomy places the organism in Eukaryota, Metazoa, Chordata, Mammalia, Artiodactyla, Bovidae. The record is from Ensembl.